GCUUGUCUCAAAGAUUAAGCCAUGCAUGUCUAAGUGUAAAUACGUCUACACUGUGAAACUGCGAAUGGCUCAUUAAAUCAGUUAUCGUUUAUUUGAUGAUCUCUUGUUACAUGGAUAACCGUAGUAAUUCUAGAGCUAAUACAUGCGAAAAGACCCGACUUUGCGGAAGGGUUGCAUUUAUUAGAUACAAAACCAAUGCGGGGCAACCCGGUUGUUGGUGAUUCAUAAUAACUUUUGCGGAUCGCAUGGCCUUGAGCCGGCGACGAAUCAUUCAAAUUUCUGCCCUAUCAACUUUCGAUGGUACGGUAUUGGCCUACCAUGGUUACCACGGGUAACGGGGAAUUAGGGUUCGGUUCCGGAGAGGGGGCCUGAGAAAUGGCCACCACAUCCAAGGAAGGCAGCAGG
RNAcentral lists this ribosomal RNA (405 nucleotides) under uncultured Salpingoecidae. RNAcentral describes it as "partial small subunit ribosomal RNA". It matches the Rfam family "Eukaryotic small subunit ribosomal RNA", at positions 30 to 432 of the family's 1831-position model. Lineage: Eukaryota; Choanoflagellata; Craspedida; Salpingoecidae. The record is from RNAcentral.